UACGAAGGGGGCUAGCGUUGCUCGGAAUCACUGGGCGUACAGCGCACGUAGGCGGCUUCUUAAGUCAGGGGUGAAAUCCUGGAGCUCAACUCCAGAACUGCCUUUGAUACUGAGGAGCUUGAGUCCGGGAGAGGUGAGUGGAACUCCGAGUGUAGAGGUGAAAUUCGUAGAUAUUCGGAAGAACACCAGUGGCGAAGGCGGCUCACUGGCCCGGUACUGACGCUGAGGUGCGAAAGCGUGGGGAGCAAACAGG
This 253-nucleotide ribosomal RNA is filed under the name uncultured bacterium. Its description in RNAcentral is "partial 16S ribosomal RNA". It matches the Rfam family "Bacterial small subunit ribosomal RNA", at positions 524 to 776 of the family's 1533-position model. The record is from RNAcentral.